This 45-nucleotide non-coding RNA is filed under the name Trichobilharzia regenti. Lineage: Eukaryota; Metazoa; Platyhelminthes; Trematoda; Strigeidida; Schistosomatidae. The record is from RNAcentral.
AUGCAGAUGACGAGUCCCAAAUAGGACGAAAUUCACGUCCUGGAU